UACGGGGGGGCAAGCGUUGUUCGGAAUUACUGGGCGUAAAGGGCUCGCAGGCGGCCGACUAAGUCAGACGUGAAAUCCCUUGGCUUAACCAAGGAAUGGCGUCUGAUACUGGACGGCUUGAAUCCGGGAGAGGGAUGUGGAAUUCCAGGUGUGAGCGGUGAAAUGCGUAGAUAUCUGGAGGAACACCGGUGGCGAAGGCGGCAUCCUGGGACCGGUAUUGGA
Molecule: ribosomal RNA, 222 nt
Filed under: uncultured bacterium
Lineage: Bacteria
Description: partial 16S ribosomal RNA
Rfam family: Bacterial small subunit ribosomal RNA
Source: RNAcentral